This 465-nucleotide ribosomal RNA is filed under the name Vreelandella stevensii. RNAcentral's name for it is "partial 16S ribosomal RNA". It matches the Rfam family "Bacterial small subunit ribosomal RNA", at positions 338 to 795 of the family's 1533-position model. Lineage: Bacteria; Pseudomonadati; Pseudomonadota; Gammaproteobacteria; Oceanospirillales; Halomonadaceae. The record is from RNAcentral.
CCUACGGGAGUCUGCAGUGGGGAAUAUUGGACAAUGGGCGAAAGCCUGAUCCAGCCAUGCCGCGUGUGUGAAGAAGGCCUUCGGGUUGUAAAGCACUUUCAGUGGGGAAGAAAGCCUUGGGGCUAAUACCCUCGAGGAAGGACAUCACCCACAGAAGAAGCACCGGCUAACUCCGUGCCAGCAGCCGCGGUAAUACGGAGGGUGCGAGCGUUAAUCGGAAUUACUGGGCGUAAAGCGCGCGUAGGCGGUCUGAUAAGCCGGUUGUGAAAGCCCCGGGCUCAACCUGGGAACGGCAUCCGGAACUGUCAGGCUAGAGUGCAGGAGAGGAAGGUAGAAUUCCCGGUGUAGCGGUGAAAUGCGUAGAGAUCGGGAGGAAUACCAGUGGCGAAGGCGGCCUUCUGGACUGACACUGACGCUGAGGUGCGAAAGCGUGGGUAGCAAACAGGAUUAGAUACCCUGGUAGUC